AGACAGUUCGGUCCCUAUCUGGUGUGGGCGCAGGAGACUUGAAGGGAGCUGUCCCUAGUACGAGAGGACCGGGAUGGACAGACCUCUUGUGUACGAGCUGUCGCGCCAGCGGCACCGCUCGGUAGCGAAGUCUGGAAGAGAUAAAUGCUGAAUGCAUCUAAGCAUGAAGCUCGCCCUAAGAUAAGGUCUCCCAAUCCCGCUUCGGCGGGAUAAGAAGGGCGGUCGAAGACUACGACCUUGAUAGGCGGGGGGUGGAAGCGCAGCAAUGCGUUCGAGCUGACCCGUACUAAUCGCCCGUUCGGCUUGACCAUAAAACUUU
This 319-nucleotide ribosomal RNA is filed under the name Acidobacteriota bacterium. RNAcentral's name for it is "bacterial LSU rRNA". It matches the Rfam family "Bacterial large subunit ribosomal RNA", at positions 2624 to 2925 of the family's 2925-position model. Lineage: Bacteria; Pseudomonadati; Acidobacteriota. The record is from RNAcentral.